GUCUUCUUGUUUAUGUAAGAAGUCUGACCUGCCCGGUGAUUUAUUUUAACGGCCGCGGUAUUUUUGACCGUGCAAAGGUAGCAUAAUCAUUAGUCUUUUAAUAGGAGGCUGGUAUGAAGGGUUUGACGAAGUAUUAACUGUCUCAAUUAAUUUUAUAUUAAAAUUUAACUUUUUAGUCAAAAGGCUUAAAUUUAGUUGGAAGACGAGAAGACCCUAUAGAGUUUUAUAGAUUUUUUAUAGUUUGUUAUAUAAUUUUCAUAUUUUAUAAAAUCUAUUUUGUUGGGGUGACAAGAAUAUAAAUUUAACUUUUUUAUUUAUUAAUCAUUGAUUGAUGUUUAUUAGAUCCAGUCUUACUGAUUGUUAGAACAAGUUACC
This 375-nucleotide ribosomal RNA is filed under the name Aphylla williamsoni. Its description in RNAcentral is "partial 16S ribosomal RNA". The record is from RNAcentral. Lineage: Eukaryota; Metazoa; Arthropoda; Insecta; Odonata; Gomphidae.